GGAGGAGGAGGAAGAGGAGAAGAAAAGAGGAAGGGCCCCAGGAACAGCAGAAUCCAUUGAGCUGCAUCCUCAUGGCGGAAGUGACGCUGGCUGCAGUGUGGCGACCUGGCGCCCGAGAAGUCACCCUCGGCAGCACAGUCUCCUUCCAACAUGCUCCACUUGAGCUUGGUUUCCAACAGGAGUCUCAGAAGACAAGGAGUAUAUUUACCAUCACAAAGGAAAAGCUCCUUGCUGACAGAAAGAAGAGAAAGAGCACUGACUGAAUAGUUUGUCAUCAGAUCUUCACGGAUGAGUGCACCGUCUCUCCAUGCCUUCAGGAAUGUAAUCUCCAGGAGUCUGACUGUCAGGUCUACCAGCCCCAAACCCUUAGGGGAUGAGUUCACCUAGCUCACUGGGCUUCUGUAAGAAUUCUAUGAAAAAAGCAAAUAAAAUGGAUAGUCCAAAGCCUGAUGCACAGAAAGUUACUUUAUGAAUAAAAGCAGUAUUCAUAGAGCAUCCACCUCCCAGCUACACUCUGAGGUCUAUUUCCUGCUUAGGGUCUUUUUCUG
This is a long non-coding RNA of Chinchilla lanigera (long-tailed chinchilla), 548 nucleotides long. RefSeq lists it as uncharacterized. Lineage: Eukaryota; Metazoa; Chordata; Mammalia; Rodentia; Chinchillidae. The record is from RefSeq and is a predicted model, not a curated record. The transcript is spliced from 3 exons.